AGCAGGCCAGACGAUCGCUGGGAAUUCUAAUUCCUGGAGGAAAGUCCGAACACCACAGGGCAGGGUGCUCCGUAACACGGAGUCACGGCGACGUGAAGGAAAGUGCAACAGAGAGCAGACCGCCCUGCCGACCCGGCAGGGUAAGGGUGAAACGGUGCGGUAAGAGCGCACCAGUUCUCCGGGUGACCGGAGAAGCUUGGUAAACCCCACCCGGUGCAAGACCAAAUAGGGGAACGUUUGAGGGCGGCCCGCCCAAGUUCCCGGGUAGGUCGCACGAGGCAUCAGGCAACUGCUGCCCAAGAUGAAUGAUCGUCAUCCGAAACGGGGUAACCUUUUUCGGAAACAGAAUUCGGCUUACGGGCUGCUUC
Molecule: RNase P RNA, 368 nt
Filed under: marine eukaryotic metagenome
Description: Bacterial RNase P class A
Rfam family: Bacterial RNase P class A
About the family: Ribonuclease P (RNase P) is a ubiquitous endoribonuclease, found in archaea, bacteria and eukarya as well as chloroplasts and mitochondria. Its best characterised activity is the generation of mature 5'-ends of tRNAs by cleaving the 5'-leader elements of precursor-tRNAs.
Source: RNAcentral